RNAcentral lists this non-coding RNA (30 nucleotides) under Rattus norvegicus (Norway rat). Lineage: Eukaryota; Metazoa; Chordata; Mammalia; Rodentia; Muridae. The record is from RNAcentral.
UAUGUCGUUUAUUAUUCUAAAUGUCAAUUG